UGGGGAAUAUUGCACAAUGGGCGCAAGCCUGAUGCAGCCAUGCCGCGUGUAUGAAGAAGGCCUUCGGGUUGUAAAGUACUUUCAGCGGGGAGGAAGGUGUUGUGGUUAAUAACCUCAGCAAUUGACGUUACCCGCAGAAGAAGCACCGGCUAACUCCGUGCCAGCAGCCGCGGUAAUACGGAGGGUGCAAGCGUUAAUCGGAAUUACUGGGCGUAAAGCGCACGCAGGCGGUCUGUCAAGUCGGAUGUGAAAUCCCCGGGCUCAACCUGGGAACUGCAUCCGAAACUGGCAGGCUUGAGUCUUGUAGAGGGGGGUAGAAUUCCAGGUGUAGCGGUGAAAUGCGUAGAGAUCUGGAGGAAUACCGGUGGCGAAGGCGGCCCCUGGACAAAGACUGACGCUCAGGUGCGAAAGCGUGGGGAGCAAACA
Molecule: ribosomal RNA, 426 nt
Filed under: uncultured bacterium
Lineage: Bacteria
Description: partial 16S ribosomal RNA
Rfam family: Bacterial small subunit ribosomal RNA
Source: RNAcentral